CCUACGGGCGGCAGCAGUGGGGAAUAUUGGACAAUGGGCGAAAGCCUGAUCCAGCCAUGCCGCGUGUGUGAAGAAGGCCUUCGGGUUGUAAAGCACUUUCAGUGGGGAAGAAAGCCUUGGGGCUAAUACCCUCGAGGAAGGACAUCACCCACAGAAGAAGCACCGGCUAACUCCGUGCCAGCAGCCGCGGUAAUACGGAGGGUGCGAGCGUUAAUCGGAAUUACUGGGCGUAAAGCGCGCGUAGGCGGUCUGAUAAGCCGGUUGUGAAAGCCCCGGGCUCAACCUGGGAACGGCAUCCGGAACUGUCAGGCUAGAGUGCAGGAGAGGAAGGUAGAAUUCCCGGUGUAGCGGUGAAAUGCGUAGAGAUCGGGAGGAAUACCAGUGGCGAAGGCGGUCUUCUGGACUGACACUGACGCUGAGGUGCGAAAGCGUGGGUAGCAAACAGGAUUAGAUACCCCUGUAGUC
Molecule: ribosomal RNA, 465 nt
Filed under: Vreelandella stevensii
Lineage: Bacteria; Pseudomonadati; Pseudomonadota; Gammaproteobacteria; Oceanospirillales; Halomonadaceae
Description: partial 16S ribosomal RNA
Rfam family: Bacterial small subunit ribosomal RNA
Source: RNAcentral